RNAcentral lists this long non-coding RNA (639 nucleotides) under Olea europaea (common olive). Its description in RNAcentral is "long non-coding RNA (OEUR_LNC001835)". The record is from RNAcentral. Lineage: Eukaryota; Viridiplantae; Streptophyta; Magnoliopsida; Lamiales; Oleaceae.
GAAAGUUCACCACAAUAAUCUUUACAAAAGAGAUAUAGCGAAGAUAAGCAAGACAUAAGCACGAAGUCCUUUAUUUACAAUAAGAAUACUGACUGAAUAUUGGAUCAAUUUUAUGGAGAAACACUACAGAACAAAAUUUUAAUUCAAGUGGAGUUGAGGGGUAUUUUUCAAUAAAAAUAUAGUAAGCACUGCCUCAAAAAUUAUUUAACUACUUGACAUUGUUCAAAAACCAUGAUUCCCAACUAUCUCCAAACUAAUCCUCGAAAUCAAAAUUUUCAUUAUAUUCAUCUUCAUACCCGUAAGGCAUCGCAUCAUUAUGAUGACUGUAUAUAAAAUCAUCUUCGCCACAAAUGAUCUGCUGUUGAUCUUCAUCUUCAUCAUAAUUGCCCUCUUCAGAUCUUUGCAUUUUGGAUGUGGUAAUGCUUUCGUUCUGUGAAUAAUCAUUUCUGCAAGAAUCAAGUUUCAAAUCGAUGAUGUGUGCCGUACCAGAACGUUGUUCUUGAAAUGAUAUCUAAAACAAGAAAUGCAAAGAAUCCUUAAUCUAGUUACAUGUUGGUUUUACACUUUCCGACCCAAUAAAAACGAAACCAAAACAAAAGCAUAAAAUACAUACCAUAUCAUCAUUUAGGUGUCUCAAAG